RNAcentral lists this ribosomal RNA (828 nucleotides) under uncultured bacterium. RNAcentral describes it as "bacterial SSU rRNA". It matches the Rfam family "Bacterial small subunit ribosomal RNA", at positions 60 to 904 of the family's 1533-position model. The record is from RNAcentral.
AGUCGAGCGAUGAACACCUUCGGGUGUGAAUUAGCGGCGAACGGGUGAGGAACACGUGAAGAAUCUGCCUUCAACUCUGGGAUAACUCCGGGAAACCGGGGCUAAUACCGGAUAUGAGCCUCGAUCGCAUGAUUGGGGCUGGAAAGUUUUUCGGUUGAAGAUGACUUCGCGGCCUAUCAGCUUGUUGGUGAGGUAAUGGCUCACCAAGGCGACGACGGGUAGCCGGCCUGAGAGGGCGACCGGCCACACUGGGACUGAGACACGGCCCAGACUCCUACGGGAGGCAGCAGUGGGGAAUAUUGGGCAAUGGAGGAAACUCUGACCCAGCGACGCCGCGUGAGGGACGAAGGCCUUCGGGUUGUAAACCUCUUUCAGUAGGGAAGAAGCGAAAGUGACGGUACCUACAGAAGAAGCACCGGCUAACUAUGUGCCAGCAGCCGCGGUAAUACAUAGGGUGCAAGCGUUGUCCGGAAUUAUUGGGCGUAAAGAGCUCGUAGGUGGUUCGAUACGUCGGAUGUGAAAAUCAGGGGCUCAACCCCUGACCUGCAUCCGAUACGGUCGAGCUAGAGUUUGGUAGGGGAGACUGGAAUUCCUGGUGUAGCGGUGGAAUGCGCAGAUAUCAGGAGGAACACCGAUGGCGAAGGCAGGUCUCUGGGCCAAUACUGACACUGAAGAGCGAAAGCGUGGGGAGCGAACAGGAUUAGAUACCCUGGUAGUCCACGCCGUAAACGGUGGGCGCUAGUUGUGCGAACCUUCCACGGUUUGUGCGACGCAGCUAACGCAUUAAGCGCCCCGCCUGGGGAGUACGAUCGCAAGAUUAAAACUCAA